UUCAGUCAGUAAUAAUCCCGAAAUUCGUGGCUCUGGAAAAAAUUCCGGGCGCAAAUGGGAUAAAUAUGCUAUUUACUGGUGGCAUUUCCUUAGUUAUAGGACCUAUAAUAGGUGUGAUUCACGAUAAGACUGGUUCGUAUUUUUAUGCAUUACAUGCAUCUACAGUGUUGUCACUUUUAUGCGUGACGCUCUGGAUUGUGGAGUUGAUUUACGAAAAAAGACGAGAUAGAAGUGCCAAAGUAUGACGUUGAUUAUGUCAAUAGGAAUGUUUAGUUUAAUUUAUUUUAUGUUAAAAAUAUUAUAAGAUAUAAAUAUAAAUAAUUUUGUUGAGAUUGAGUGAUAUAAAAAUAAGUACCAGU
This is a long non-coding RNA of Sitophilus oryzae (rice weevil), 359 nucleotides long. RefSeq lists it as uncharacterized. The record is from RefSeq and is a predicted model, not a curated record. The transcript is spliced from 2 exons. NCBI's taxonomy places the organism in Eukaryota, Metazoa, Arthropoda, Insecta, Coleoptera, Curculionidae.